Molecule: ribosomal RNA, 464 nt
Filed under: uncultured bacterium
Lineage: Bacteria
Description: partial 16S ribosomal RNA
Rfam family: Bacterial small subunit ribosomal RNA
Source: RNAcentral
CUACGGGUGGCAGCAGUGGGGAAUAUUGCACAAUGGGCGCAAGCCUGAUGCAGCCAUGCCGCGUGUAUGAAGAAGGCCUUCGGGUUGUAAAGUACUUUCAGCGGGGAGGAAGGGAGUAAAGUUAAUACCUUUGCUCAUUGACGUUACCCGCAGAAGAAGCACCGGCUAACUCCGUGCCAGCAGCCGCGGUAAUACGGAGGGUGCAAGCGUUAAUCGGAAUUACUGGGCGUAAAGCGCACGCAGGCGGUUUGUUAAGUCAGAUGUGAAAUCCCCGGGCUCAACCUGGGAACUGCAUCUGAUACUGGCAAGCUUGAGUCUCGUAGAGGGGGGUAGAAUUCCAGGUGUAGCGGUGAAAUGUGUAGAGAUCUGGAGGAAUACCGGUGGCGAAGGCGGCCCCCUGGACGAAGACUGACGCUCAGGUGCGAAAGCGUGGGGAGCAAACAGGAUUAGAUACCCCCGUAGUC